Molecule: small nucleolar RNA, 106 nt
Filed under: Helianthus annuus (common sunflower)
Lineage: Eukaryota; Viridiplantae; Streptophyta; Magnoliopsida; Asterales; Asteraceae
Description: Plant small nucleolar RNA R71
Rfam family: Plant small nucleolar RNA R71
About the family: R71 is a member of the C/D box family of snoRNAs containing the C (UGAUGA) and D (CUGA) box motifs. Multiple nearly identical copies of this snoRNA have been identified in Arabidopsis, and it is thought to function as a 2'-O-ribose methylation guide for 18S ribosomal RNA.
Source: RNAcentral
AGUCCAUGAUGCGGGCAAUUUUUGAUCAUCAUAUUAAAGCGCUCAAAGGCUUCAUGAAACAUUUCGCCUUGUUGUUUUUGGAAACUCCUCAACCCUUUUCUAGCAU